GUUAACUAUUAAAUUACUUUUGGCAAUAGGCUACUAUCAAAUUCUGAAAUUAGUUUUUAUUUACCGGAAAUAAAGGCUAUUUCAAAAGGAAAACGUUUAGGUCCGAGGAGAAGUCAGAACAGCAGUUGAGCAGCCGCGAGCCGCACGAGAAGAAGCAAAGAGCCGCAUGUGGCUCGCGAGCCGCGGGUUGGCCACCGCUGGUAUAGUGUAUAGGUGUAAUUGAGUGCCUGUCACUUUAAGACGAUGUUUGGGAACCCUUGCCAUUUUAAAACAGUUAAAAGGCUGGUGUGUGCACCAUGCAGGAUAAUGUUUUCUGCGUAGUUACACUGUAGUUAAAAUAAAGGUUCACUCUAAAAAAUGCUGGGUUAUUUUUCUCAACCCAAGCAUUGUGUUUAGGCUGUUGGGUCAUUUUGUGGGGUUGUUUUUACUCACGUUGGUUGAUUUUCAGUUUAGAACAGUGGCCCCCACUACAUACCCAGCACCAGGGUGACUUUUAGGGCACUUUUACACCUGGCUAUUUGAAUCGGAAUGGGGAGCAUAUCGCCCAAAGAUCUGUUCAAUUGGGUAUGUGAAAGCAGCGAUCGCACUCUGUUUCGGAACAAAAUAAAUGGUCCGAGACGCCUAGAGGAGGUGGUCUCGACUCAUUUCCAAUCGAACCCGAUUGGAAGCGGUUCAUUUGCAGUGAGAAAGCAAUUGGGCCGGUGUAGCGGAACAACUCUCCCGUGCUUGCAUUUUUGUCCACAUUAUAUAACAAGUUUUUUUUUCUUAUUGUAAUUUGUUGCCUUUGUAUGCUCAAAUAAACCACCAUGAUACAUUUUGAAGCUUUUUCAAAGCCAUGCCCAAAAGCUCACCAGAGAAAUUGAAUGCAUUUAGAAUAAAAGCAGCAUAAACAGUUUGCUGACAGCUAUUUGGUAGGCUAGUAGCCUACUAACCUGUGGCUAUAAAUGUGUUAAAACCAUAUAAUAAUAAUAAUAAUGAUAAUAAUAAUAAUAAUAAUAAUAAUAAUAAUAAUAAUAAUGUGCUGAACUGGGGCCUGUUGCACAAAAGCAGAAUUAAGAUAUCCGGGAUAAGUUACUGAGCUGCGCUCAAUGAAUCCAAAACAAGAGCAUACCGGCUUAAUUGGUUGCACAAAGACCAAUUCAGGAUGAGCAGACACAGAUUCAUCAAGCCAGGUGUAAGUUAUCCGGUAUGUGUGCGCGUUCUCGUUUCUCUCCCAAAUAACUCACGGUUGGAAUAAAAAAGACGCGAAAAAUAGCGUCUUGCACACAAAGUGAACAACCGCUUUUGAUAUAGACUAACAACGAGGUAAAGUUUUACUUUUUUGGAUGGGGGAUCAUGGUUAUUUCUGUUACAUAGCGGGAGUAGGUGUGGCAGAUCAACUGAAUGCAAAUUUACGUAUGCACCCACGUGUGAGAGCUUCCUUGUCUCGGCACGCAACGUCAUUAAGGAAGCGCUUUGCCACCGCAAAGAUGCACAAAGUAUCUUAAUUUGUCUUAAAAGCCGAAUUAGUUGAAAACACCUUCGAAAAAUGUCCCCUCCACUUCCAAUCAACUACUACAGCAGCCUAUUCAUCAAACUGUCAAAAAAGAAGCAAACAACGAGUAGGCUAUGUUAUUAAUUAUAAGGCCACCAUAAUUUAAAUUACAUCCAUAUGGUAUUAGGCAGACAUUCUGCUGUGUUUUGCGAGUGAAUGCAUGUAGCAAAUAAUAUAUAAAUGGAAUCUACAGCUCUUUAAAAAAAAUCACGUGGAGGUCUCAUUUAAAUGACAGCUAGCUGAACCAAUCAGAUAAUGUAAUUACCAUUAGAAUCACCUUAUCUUGGCUGUUAGCCUGGUCAGGAGCAGGCUAGCUCCACAGAAUAAAUCGCCAUGGUAACUUAUACCAUAACAUAUCCUGCUGCCCCCUAUCCCGCUUUUGUGCAACUGGAUCACAGAUAACUUGAGCCAGGAUAACCAAGAUAUCCCGGGUUAAUCCCUUAUCCUAGUUUUGUGCAAUAGGCCCCUGGGCAAAUUGUGGCAUAACGUAAACAGCCAAAGUGCAGCCAAAGAGUGUAACAGCUAGCACUAGCCUACCUGUAAUUAACUAAACUUUCGCUAUAGCUACCAAGGUGGCAAACCUGGAGCUCCGGAGAGGUUAGACACUUAAUUGACAUCUGGGCCAAUGAGGUGAUAUCCUCUAUGUUGGAUAACACUCGCAAAAAUAGUGUUGUCUUUAAAGUCUUUAGCGAUGGCCUACGAGACUGUGGCUUCAACCGCUCUGUGGACCAGUGCAGGGCUAAGGUUAAAAAACGUAGGCAGCUUUAUGUGAAGACGCCAGUUGUUCAGCCCGUGGAUGUCGUAGAGUCCACCGGAGGGGAUGACAGCCUGGUAACCAACGCCAUUUACACCACCAGCGACGAAAAGACUGAUCCUGAGUCAGUCAACAAUGUAGCUGCACCAAGGCCUUCCAGUACUGAGGAACAGGCUGAACAAAGACAAUUUAUGAGAGACAUGAUGGAAGCAGACAGAGUUCAUCAGGCAGAGGAGACCUGAUUCCUGAGACCUGGUUCUUGAAAACCUGAUAGAGGCUGAGUAGAGGCGCUUUUUGGCCAAGCCCAACAACAGGCUACAAACAUGUUUAUGCAACUCAUGAGCGGUCUCAUUGGAGCUUUACAGCCACAACCCCAGUACCCCUUUCCCAUGCCGACUCCACCGGCCCUGGCACCAAGGCCUACUCUGUCCUCUACCCAACCCGGUGAUGACAGAGGAGGAAUUUCUUCCAUCUUACAUAAUAUAAGAGAACAGCAGUUCUUUUGAAAUGGAUUUUUUAUUUUAAUGUAUUUUUUUUUAAUUGUUUGUGAAGAAUGCAAUAAUAGUAAUAAUAGUAAUAAUAUAACAACAACAACAACAAUAAAUUACAAUAUUAUAUCACAA
Long non-coding RNA from Sardina pilchardus (European sardine), 2911 nucleotides. RefSeq lists it as uncharacterized. The record is from RefSeq and is a predicted model, not a curated record. The transcript has 2 exons. Lineage: Eukaryota; Metazoa; Chordata; Actinopteri; Clupeiformes; Clupeidae.